UGACCGGGCGGAACGAUCGCGUAAUAUGUUGCCGAAAGGUAUUAUUAUGAGGAAAGUCCGGGCUUCAUAGGGCAGGAUAACGGAUAACGUCCGCCGAAGGUGACUUCCGGGAAAGUGCAACAGAAAUAAACCGCCGUCCUCGGACGGUAAGGAUGGAAAGGCGAGGUAAGAGCUCACCGACCUCCGGGUAACCGGAGGUGCCAUGUAAACCCUAUCCGAAGCAACGCCCCGCGCUUACACGGUCUGCCCGACCAAAGCGAAAGCUUGGCGCGCGGCGGCAACCUGCAAAAGCAGGUAAGGUGUGUGGCAACACACAUCGCAGAUAGAUGAUCGUUCUCGACAGAACCCGGCUUACACGCCCGGUCAAUAU
RNAcentral lists this RNase P RNA (370 nucleotides) under Clostridia bacterium. RNAcentral's name for it is "RNase P RNA component class A". It matches the Rfam family "Bacterial RNase P class A". Rfam says of the family: Ribonuclease P (RNase P) is a ubiquitous endoribonuclease, found in archaea, bacteria and eukarya as well as chloroplasts and mitochondria. Its best characterised activity is the generation of mature 5'-ends of tRNAs by cleaving the 5'-leader elements of precursor-tRNAs. Lineage: Bacteria; Bacillati; Bacillota; Clostridia. The record is from RNAcentral.